Molecule: ribosomal RNA, 324 nt
Filed under: Triticum aestivum (bread wheat)
Lineage: Eukaryota; Viridiplantae; Streptophyta; Magnoliopsida; Poales; Poaceae
Description: partial small subunit ribosomal RNA
Source: RNAcentral
AAGCAACAAGGAGUGGAGAAAGAACCUAUGAAUAGAUAUUCAGAAUUGGAUCUUCUCAGCUCUCAUUAUCUCCAAAACAGAUUGGAAGCAUUGCUAUGCUCUGAUCAUCUUAUGACAGAUGAAUUGUGGAAAUGGUUGGAAGAGGUCUGGGAGGUUUACACCCGACCAGAAGUCCUUGGUUGUGGAACCUGGGGCCUCCGUUGCCGUGUUUUUCGUGGAGCCUGGAACCUCAGCCGUCGUGCCUAUUGUGGUGGUUGUUGUGGUCGUGCCCAUGGUUUCGGACACCGUGGUCAUGGUCGUGCCCGUGGUUUCAGACGCCAGUGA